This 2966-nucleotide unclassified non-coding RNA is filed under the name Apis dorsata (giant honeybee). RNAcentral describes it as "sCY1-like protein 2, transcript variant X3". Lineage: Eukaryota; Metazoa; Arthropoda; Insecta; Hymenoptera; Apidae. The record is from RNAcentral.
AUGUUUGCCAAGUCGAAAAGUAGUGGCUCGACACCGAGCGUUCUACUUCCUAAUCCUCUUCAGAAUUUGUACGACGUUGGCAAACAAACGGCUACAGCAGGACCCGAAAACGCCUGGCGUAUAUACAAUGGAUACACGAAAGCGGAUCGAAAGGAAGUCUCGAUAUUUUUCUUCGACAAAAGAUCGGUCGAUAAACUUCACAAGCCGAAGCGGAAAGAAGCGGUUACGGAAAUUUUACGAAACGGAGCACGACAAAUGGAACGAGUUUCUCAUCCAAAGAUCCUGCAGGCAUACAAGGUGGAAGAAUGCGCUGAUAGUUUGGCAUUCGCGUCGGAGCCAGUUCUCGCUAGUCUUGCGAACGUUUUAGCUUAUCAAGAGCAACGAGCGAAUAACGUCGGCCAAUCGUCGACUAACGUAACGAAACAAACUUCUUCAACCCCUAGUCAUCGUGCUCCGUUCACGAAAGAGUACGAGUUACUCGAUAUAGAGAUCAAAUAUGGAUUGUUGCAGAUCACAGAGGCUUUACUUUAUCUUCACGGAACACGCAAAGUCCUUCACAGGAACGUUUGUCCCGCGAGCAUUAUAAUUACCAAAAGGGGCACUUGGAAAUUGUCAGGUCUCGAAUUUAUCGAAAAAAUGAAGGAGUUGCCAAUGAUAUCGUUGCAACCUUGGACCAAUCGCAUGUCAAAAAUGACGCAACCGAAUCUCGAUUACAUAGCACCGGAAAUACAGCAAAAGAAAGAGGGGGGCUUCUAUAGCGACAUGUACAGCUUUGGUAUGACGAUAUGCGCAAUUUUCAAUCAAGGGCGACCAUUGAUUCAAGCGAAUCAUAACUGUUCCGAGUAUUUAAAACAAUUAGAAAACCUCGAAGAACAAGUUCAUGUGAUAUUACCUUUAGUUCCCCUUCCUCUUCGAGAAGCUGUUUCUCGACUUUUACACAUCGAUCCAGAGAAGAGGCCAACCAUUCAAGUUUUAUCCAUGAUCAAGUAUUUUCAAGAUCCACCCGUAUACGCGCUUCAAUUUCUCGAUGUCAGUAAGAUGAAAGACGCGUUGCAAAAGGAGCAUUUUUAUACAACUACUUUAAAAGGAAUAUUACCUUAUAUACCAAGGAAACUUUGGUAUCAACAUAUUUGGACGUAUCUGCAAACUGAAUUGGAAAGUGAAGAAGUUCAAUCGGCUGUACUACAACCGGUACUUUAUAUCGUGCAAAAUAGUACACAAGAGGAAUACGAUCAAAUUGUAUUUCCAUCGUUACGAUCGCUUUUCUCGAAUCGUAAAUCGGUUCACGGAACGGUUACGUUGCUGGAAAAUUUGCAUUUGAUAUUAAAAAAAACAUCUCGAGAAUAUAUAGAAAGCGAAGUGCUUCCGAUGUUGUACACAUCCUUUGAGAAUUCAACUACUCAAGUGCAGACUGCAGCGUUCGUAGCCGUUUCGAAUGUGACUGAUUACAUACACGACGAGGCUGUUCGAAACAUCGUGUUGCCGAAAUUACUUCAAGCAUUUGAAAAAAAUUUAGUGGAUUCCCGAAUACUUAUGAACGUGAUACCCUGUAUUUUAAAUCGUUUGGAAAAGCAAAAAAUCAUCGAUUGUAUCUUACCAUUAUUGUUCAAUGUAAAACUUCAAGAACCGGAGAUAAUCGUACGGGUUGUGAAGAUUUACAGAUUAAUGUUAAACGACAAAAAAUAUGGAUUAUCUGUGAAUUGGAUGGCAACUAGAGCAAUGCCUUCUUUACUACCUCAAACUAUUAACCCAGCAUUGAAUCUCGAGCAGUUUGAACUACUUCUCAAAGUGUUACAAGAUAUGUUGAAUCACAUCGAAAGAAAUCAAAGGAAUCAAUUGACGCUGGAUAAUUUGUCAUUAUCGAGCCCGGAACGGUAUCGAAGUUUGCGACAUCAACACAGUACGGACAAUAUGUACGUUGCCCCCUUUAAUAUACCAAAUCUACGUAUCGAGCAACGUAAAACUUCUUCUGCUGAAGACAUGGCUCGGAAAAAUAGCACGAAUUCGAUGUCGACGACAGUUUCAGCUGAAAAUAUGGCAAGAAAAAACUCGAUGAUAACCAUGUUCAGAUGGUUCUCAUCAUCGAACAACGAUAACAGUAAUUUCUUAAAAGUGACGAAUACAUUUACGAGCAGACGGUUAUCGGAUAACACUUUGAUGACACCGAAAAUACGGGUAGCACCAUCGUGCGAAAGUUCCCCAGGUGCUACACCAGGUGAUGGAUUACCCAUUCGACGACACUCGAGCACCGGUCCUCAAGACCGACGGGGAUCUAACAUAAAUUUAUCGCCCCCCUUGGGUGGAAUGCCGAUUACCAGUAGCAGUGUUCCGUACCUGGUUAGCUCGAGCAUGAAUAGUAUACGCGGCUCGAGACGUCCUUCGGUCUCUUCAACAUCUUCCCAACAAGGACUGUUGCAGCAGGUUGGCUCCAGCAUGUAUCAAUUCUUCAAUAAACAAUUCGAUGGUUAAAUCUUUCGUCGACGAUCAAGUUUCGUAGGAUAUUUACAUUAAAAUUAACAACGUAAGGAACAAUUGGUUACCGUCCGUGCUACGAAAGGAGACAUAGAGGAACGAAAAAAAAUAAUUUUAUAACCAUCUCCUGUUAACGAUAAAAUGGCAACAGAGACUGAUUGUUUUUCUGGAGUAUUAUAUGACACUAGAAAGCAAAGUGUCCUUAAGGUGUUCGGGAUAAGAAUUAUUUCACGUUUGUGCUUGAUCAUAAUUCUGAUCGUACAGAAAUCGUUAAAUAAUGCGUGGACAAUCGUGGACAAUCUAAUAGGCAAUCUUGGACAAUCGUCGACAAUCAGAAACGAACAGGAAAAAAUCGAUACAAACGAAUUGUAAUGACGUGUUCGUGUUCUUACGAAUUAUCUUUUGAUAAUUAUUCAACAAAAUUGUAAUUUAUCAAAAGUAUUUGAACGUGCAUAAUACAUUGUGAACUCGAUACAUUGAAUCAUCGUUGAGAA